UUUUGAGAGCUUAAAUUUUCAGCCACUUAGUUCCCUUGCAAGUAAGUGAUUUUAAUGGACAUUUUUGAUGAUUUUUGUAUUUUUGGAACCCUUAUAGCUUAAUCUAACUAAUGGGGGGAUUAUUUUGUAAAAUGGUUUAAAGUCUAGGGUUUUUUAAUGUGAAUAUUUAUGUUAUUUGCUGAAUUUUUAUGGAAGGAAAUAAGUCAUGUUGGUGUAAUAAACAACUUUUGUGAAGUGGUGUUCAUGAAAUACACCUAAAGGGACUAUUUUGUGAAGUCUCUAAAAUAGGUUGAAAAUGUGUGAACUAAUUGAAAUUAUGAGUUGCUAUAGUUAUAAAAAGAAUUCGACUAGGCUUGGUAAGGGAGAAAAUUCGAUAAAAAUUUAUUUACGAGCCUACGGGUAAAAUCGUAAUUUUUGUAAAAAUCUAGGGGCAAAAAUGGUCAUUUUUCCAAAGGAUAAAUUAUGGAAUGUAUUGGUGAAUAUGAUGAUUAAAGUAGUGAAUUUUAUCAUUAUAGAUCAAUAAAACCGAGAUUCGGGCUUAAAUCGGAAAGUACGAGGUCAUGGACUAAAAUGGAGUAAUUAGCCGAAAUUGCAUUCGAGGUAAGUCCGUGUAACUAUAAACAUGUUAUCCAUGUUAUUUUUAAUAUACUUGAAAUCUAUUUUGCUAUGAUUGUAUUGAAUUAUAUGUUGAUGGAGUUAUGUAUGAGAAAGUGAUGCCAAAUGUUAAUAACAAUUUUGUGAUGAUUGAAUACAUUGGAAAUUUGAUGGGAUAUGAUAUUCCAUUGAAACGAGUAAGUUGUAUAUAAAUAAUGCAACUUAGUCGUAUUUAUGCAUUGAAUAUUUGAUUAUGUAUAUAAUGCUUGAAUGUACCUAUGAGUAAUAUACGGUGAGAUUUAAUAUGGUAAAAACUCCCAGUUGAACCCUAGGAAUAGAUCGGAUAUCCUUGCCAUGGCAUUUGGGUGUUAUGGAUGUAUGCUAGUGUAAGACAUGUCUGGGACAUGCAUCGGCCACAUUAUGAGAGCCAGUGUAAAACCAUGUCUGGGACAUGCAUCGACCUCGAGAUAUACAAGCUAGUGUAAGACCUGUUUGGGACAUGGCAUCUGCUUGACAUGUGUCAGUGUAAGACUUGUCUGGGACAUGGCAUCUGCUUGACAUGUGUCAGUGUAAGACAUGUCUAGGACUUGGCAUCGACACCGAUAGAUGAGAGCUAGUGUAAGACCUGUCUGGGACAUGGCUUGAUAUAUAAAAGUUAGUGUAAGACCUGUCUGGGACAUGACAUCGACUUAGAUGUGUGAGCCAGUGUAAGACCAUGUUUGGAACAUGGCAUCAGCAUCGUACCCUAUGUUUGAGGCUUAGUGAUUAUCCUGUAGUAUUCCAAAUGGUUCAACGGGAAAUUUACGAUUUAAGUCGAAAUGAUAGAGCUUAUGGCUAUGUUGUGAGUGGUACAGGUACUUACAUGAAAUUGAUGAGAUGUGAACUCAAUUCAUGUUGUAUGAUUAGUAAGGAAUGUAUAUGAGCAUGUUGAGUAGCACAGGUAUGUAUGCCAAGCUCAUGAGAAAUGAUUUCGAUUUAUGAUGCACAUUUGAUGAAGAUGUAAAUGGGUAAUUCAUGCCUAUGAGAAUGAUUUUGUGAUGACCUUGUGAUUAUAGGUCUAUACUUAUGAUGUAUAAAUAUGUAUUUUUACCAAUGUUGUGAAAAUGAAUUAAUAAGAUGUGAUAAACUUAGUAUGAUUAAUUUACACUAAAAUAGUUUUGGACAAUAGCAACAGUCCGAAUAUGAAAAUCCACCAGAUAUUGUGGAAAUUGAGUUAGAGGCUGAAUAAAAUAUAAAAUUAAAGUUUAAUAAGUCUAGUUUCACAUAGACCAAAUAGUCCAUAUAAGAGAAUUUCAUAUUAUGAGAUAUUUUGAAAUUUUGUGAGACAGAGUCAGAAUGAUUUCGAAAUCCACUGUUCCAAUUUGGGAAAAUCAUUAAAAAUUAUACAAAAAUAGUUAUGGAUUAUAAUUUAUAUGUUUAGAUUAUAAUUUAUAUGUUUAGAAUCUUUAAUGAGUAUAUUUUCAAAAUAAAUAAACAAAAACAUCAUCUGAAUCCCAGGGGUGACUUUAAAGAAUAAACUGUACUUAUUGGCUAAAUCAAAAAUUUUGAAAAUUUUAUGGUAAGAAGAUAUGUGAGUCUAGUUUUAGGGAAAAUUAGCGAAACUUAAUUUGGAUUUUUGUAGCUCCAGAUAUAAAUAAUGUAAUGACUGUGACUCGAGAAAACACCUUGACCUAAACAUAAAGAAAAGUACAAAUAUGGUUGUAUUACCUUGAGAAGCAAGUUGAUAAAUUGCUUAUUAUUUUCAUACAGUCUUACUAAGCUAUAAAGAUUACUCCCUUCCUUUCUUUUUCUUUAGUGUUUUCAGGUUAGCUCGGCAUUAGAGAUCGUCGGAGGCAGCAUCACACUAUUAAGCCAUCACCUUUGGAAUAUUGAUAUUUGUUAAGCAUGUUUAAGUGAGUGGAUGUAUUGGGACUAGGUUUUUAUGAUAUGUGUUAUUAUGAUUAGCCUAAUGUAUUGGUCUAUAUUGAGUUAUUGGUAUAUGGCCAAGAGGUGCGUCUCAUAUUGAUUAUGGUUUGUAAACCUAUCUAUCUAUGCUAUGUUCUAAUGCUUGUGAUGAGAUGAUGUGAUUAUGCUUGUUGGCCUUA
This 2678-nucleotide long non-coding RNA is filed under the name Gossypium barbadense (sea-island cotton). RNAcentral describes it as "long non-coding RNA (GBAR_LNC005508)". The record is from RNAcentral. Lineage: Eukaryota; Viridiplantae; Streptophyta; Magnoliopsida; Malvales; Malvaceae.